GGAGUUAGCCGGUGCUUCUUCUGUGAGUGAUGUCCUUCCUGCCGGCUAUUAACCCGCAGGCCUUCUUCCUCACUGAAAGUGCUUUACAACCCGAAGGCCUUCUUCACACACGCGGCAUGGCUGGAUCAUGGUUGCCCCCAUUGUCCAAUAUUCCCCACUGCUGCCUCCCGUAGGAGUCUGGGCCGUGUCUCAGUCCCAGUGUGGCUGAUCAUCCUCUCAGACCAGCUACGGAUCGUCGCCUUGGUGAGCCGUUACCUCACCAACCAGCUAAUCCGACAUAGGCUCAUCCGAUAGCGCGAGGCCCGAAGGUCCCCCGCUUUCCCCCGUAGGGCGUAUGCGGUAUUAGCCUGGGUUUCCCCAGGUUAUCCCCCACUACCGGGCAGAUUCCUAUGCAUUACUCACCCGUCCGCCGCUCGCCACCAGGGAGCAAGCUCCCCGUGCUGCCGCUCGACUUGCAUGUGUUAGGCCUGCCGCCACGCGUUCAUCUGACGACGAUACGAAUACUAACGUACUGACGCGGACGCGGGCGAGGCGACGACGACG
RNAcentral lists this ribosomal RNA (543 nucleotides) under uncultured bacterium. Its description in RNAcentral is "partial 16S ribosomal RNA". The record is from RNAcentral.